RNAcentral lists this ribosomal RNA (281 nucleotides) under uncultured bacterium. RNAcentral describes it as "partial 16S ribosomal RNA". It matches the Rfam family "Bacterial small subunit ribosomal RNA", at positions 28 to 300 of the family's 1533-position model. The record is from RNAcentral.
GAUGAACGCUGGCGGCGUGCCUAACACAUGCAAGUCGAGCGAGAAGCUCAUGACGGAAUCUUCGGAGGACGGAUUGAGUGGAAAGCGGCGGACGGGUGAGUAACGCGUGGGUAACCUGCCCUGUACAGAGGAAUAGCCAUUGGAAACGAUGAUUAAUGCCUCAUAAGACUACAGUAUCGCAUGAUACAGUAGCCAAAAACUCCGGUGGUACAGGAUGGACCCGCGUUAGAUUAGCUAGUGUAAGUAAGCUUACCAAGACGAUCUAUAGCCGACUGAGAGGU